UCAAAUUAUGCUUAAUCCAGCUGGUUGAAAAGAUCAUAACAAAGAUUCUAAUAAAGACCUGGUAUUUGGGACAACUUCUGAAUAUGCAUUAAUUUCCUAAGGCUUUUUUUUUCUAAUGUAACACAUAUUAUAGCCUAAUUUUGGUUUCAAAAGACAUAUUACAUUCCUCUGCACUAUCACUAACAUCUUUCCAAGUGCAUACAGAAUUGGUUUGUAAUGAUUCAAAUUAUGAUGCAAACUCCCUGAUGCUUUGGUUAAAAGCUGUUCUUAUUGCUGCCUCUCUUCUUACCAUUCAGUGAUAGUCAUAAAUGAAUUUUGUGUGCUCCUCAUUUGCCCAUUUCUGAAAAGCACAUCUUUUUAUCUGGGGUCUCUGAGCUGCAGAGGAAAUGCUGUGCCCUUGUCUUUUCAGCAGAAAACAUUAUUGAAACGCAUCUCUCUUACAAGACCUUUCUGUAAUUAUCAAACUUUACUGAAUCAAGAGAAUUGUUUGGCAAAUAGCAGCAAAGGCUCGUGUCCUUGUCAGAACACCUGCGGUAGUCUCCAAGCAAACACGGGUGUCAUGGUGCUUUCCUCUAAUGACACCUCAUCAAUCCAUUCCUAUCAGCAUCCGAGUCACUGAGGUGACUCGGAGCAUUCAGAAGAGAGGAAAAUGUCAAUGUUUUGGGAGAAAAGGUCAGUCACAGCUUCCCCCUUCCCUGCCAAGCCACAGUGGGCCUGCCGUUCAUUAUCUUAAUUAAAUCCAGCAGAUGAACAUCUUCUUAUCUGUAGGGGAGGAGAGCAGGGGCAUGAUGCAAUAGGAUUUGCAUAUCCAAAGUUAAUUAGUGCGGAGGAGCAGGUGUACAGCAAUAAUAAUUAUCACACAUGACAAUCACCUGUGACCACUUCCCAGCGCCCUUCCGGGAUUCAGCAAUCCGAUCGCUUUGCCUUUUAUUCUGUUUUGCUUGAUGCCAUCCCAAGUCGGUUAUGUCCUUGUGCCAGUGUCAUCCUGCUCAAAGCAAAUCUGACUUGAAAAGUAACACUGGAUAUCAUUGACUGAUUGCAGACCAAUUAGUCAUCGAGGUCUGAAAUGUGCCGACAUGGACAGUUGGCAGCUGGCACCUUUAAUGGAUCUUACCGUGUCUAACUUAGAAGCUCUAUGGACAGGGUCGAGUCACGGAUGAUACCAAACUAGGCGGGACCACUUAUAGCUGAGGAAGCAGUCAAGGAUCUGCAAAAUUAAUUAGAUAAUUUGUGUAAGUGAGCAGAGCAAUGGCAGAAGGAAGUUAACAUUGUUAAAUAUAAAGUAUUGCACACAGUAAGAAAAAAACGAGCAGCCUGCUCUUUACUGUGCAUAUUC
Chiloscyllium plagiosum (whitespotted bambooshark) is the source of this 1336-nucleotide non-coding RNA. Lineage: Eukaryota; Metazoa; Chordata; Chondrichthyes; Orectolobiformes; Hemiscylliidae. The record is from RefSeq and is a predicted model, not a curated record.